GGAGAGGUGGCCGAGCGGUUUAAGGCAGCGGCCUGCUAAGCCGUUGUAGGCGUUAGUCUACCGUGGGUUCGAAUCCCACCCUCUCCGCAA
This 90-nucleotide transfer RNA is filed under the name Bacteroidota bacterium. Its description in RNAcentral is "Bacteroidetes bacterium (marine metagenome) tRNA-Ser". It matches the Rfam family "tRNA". From Rfam's summary of the family: Transfer RNA (tRNA) molecules are approximately 80 nucleotides in length. Their secondary structure includes four short double-helical elements and three loops (D, anti-codon, and T loops). Lineage: Bacteria; Pseudomonadati; Bacteroidota. The record is from RNAcentral.